This is a non-coding RNA of Paramuricea clavata, 559 nucleotides long. The record is from the annotation of a GenBank genome assembly. NCBI's taxonomy places the organism in Eukaryota, Metazoa, Cnidaria, Anthozoa, Malacalcyonacea, Plexauridae.
UAUAUAUAUAUAUAUAUAUAUAUAAACAGUAACUUUAAAAGUAAAUUAAGUGGCUAUAUUGAGUCCGUGAAUAUAUAUCAAUUUUAAUCAGGCCAGAUUUCUAUUGACGUUACUGUGAAAUAUGUAACAAGAAGUAUCAAGCAUGAAUUGUAGUUAGUGUGUGCGUGUGCGCGCGUGCAAGUGAUAAUUUGUUUCUCUCAAACUCGAGCUGUGGUCGGGUUAGAGACGAUAGGAAAAUAGACUGAUUUAGAAAACACGACGCGAACUGAAAGACGCACCAAUUCGAAACAAGAAAUUCUUCAUACAAAACAUUAAAUCUUGUAUGACGGAACUUUCUCUAAGCCGCAUUUUAGUAAUUCUGUGUUUGAAUAAAUUAGACCAUAUAGGCUCAGUACAAAAAGAUUAUUUUAAUAACUACGUUUCGGAGUAUAACUCCAUCUUCAGGUUAAAAAGUAACUAAAGAUAUAAAACUUUAAAAACAAUUACAAAUUUAGACAAAAUCCGUUAGGAUUGCGUAUAAUAGCUGACGUGCGCUUCAAACUAAUUCGUGUCCGUGCGC